This 613-nucleotide long non-coding RNA is filed under the name Taeniopygia guttata (zebra finch). RNAcentral's name for it is "lncRNA (ENSTGUG00000026629.1)". Lineage: Eukaryota; Metazoa; Chordata; Aves; Passeriformes; Estrildidae. The record is from RNAcentral.
CUGAGGGGCGGCGGUGAGGGGUGUUCGCACCCCGCCAGCGUGAGGGGAAACCGCCGUCACGUGAAGUCUUGUAAAUCAAUCCUGGCUCAGGACUUGCUGGCACAGAGCUGAUGCAGGAUGUCCCCAUCUGUCAGAUGUGAUGUCAGGCGCGGAGAAAUCUCUUUGACCCCUACCUGAAUGAUUGCUGACAAGAGCCCAGACCUUUGUGGCAAUGGAUCUGCUGCUUGCAGCUUUGGAUGGAUGGAAGAGGCUGGCUUGGCACAGGUGGCUCUCACAGACUUUGUCUGUACUGUGGCUUGAGGGAGUCCAGGGCUUAUCUUUCAAGAUCUGAAAAAUAUCAAGAUGAGUUAAACCCCUGGUGUUGUCUCUGACCUCUGACUGUUGUCCACAUUGCACCAAAAAAGUUCCCUGCCCUUCCCACCUGACCAGCUCAGCUUGCUCUUUAGGCAGGAGGUCAGGGGCGUUAUAGAAGGAUAAAGAUAUUUAACUUAUUUCCUCAUGCAGUUUGUACUACUGUUUAAAAACCACCUGCUACCCUGGAUCUAUGCCUUCUGCUCAGCUCAUCCCUUUUAGAAAAAACCCACUAAGAUAAUAAAUUUGUGUUCCCACCCUG